This 301-nucleotide ribosomal RNA is filed under the name uncultured bacterium. RNAcentral describes it as "partial 16S ribosomal RNA". It matches the Rfam family "Bacterial small subunit ribosomal RNA", at positions 509 to 807 of the family's 1533-position model. The record is from RNAcentral.
CAGUCGCCGCGGUAAUACGUAGGGUGCAAGCGUUAAUCGGAAUUACUGGGCGUAAAGCGUGCGCAGGCGGUUUGUUAAGACAGAUGUGAAAUCCCCGGGCUCAACCUGGGAACUGCAUUUGUGACUGGCAGGCUAGAGUAUGGCAGAGGGGGGUGGAAUUCCGCGUGUAGCAGUGAAAUGCGUAGAUAUCGGAAGGAACACCUGUGGCGAAGGCGGCUCACUGGACAAUAACUGACGCUGAUGCACGAAAGCUAGGGGAGCAAACAGGAUUAGAUACCCCUGUAGUCCCUGUCUCUUAUAC